Molecule: long non-coding RNA, 390 nt
Organism: Etheostoma spectabile (orangethroat darter)
Lineage: Eukaryota; Metazoa; Chordata; Actinopteri; Perciformes; Percidae
Exons: 3
Source: RefSeq, a predicted model, not a curated record
UCAAUUUGAUCCACUAAAUGUGCUUUGUUUUGCCACUGACAGGCUUAGAUUAUUAUUCUAAUUGUCUCACAACAUUAUGGAGAUGAUCCCAACAGAGGUAGAUCUUAAAAACCUCUUUGAUACCUUUUCUGUUUAACCAGAAACAGCUCUGAAGUAGCUAGUGCAAAACCCACCAGACUCCAUUUAAAAAAACUAAAUUUUUAGUGUGUGUAGAGCCAACAUAUUUUCACAUGUAAAUCAGUAAACUGUAUGUCUAUUUCAACCAAAACCAGAGUUGUGAUGGUUGGAAAAAUGGAAAGACUACCAAAAACGACUUUUCAUAGUUUUAUUUUUUUUCUGUCAACUUUGAAUGACGUGUAUUACAUGAUGCUAAAAUUAUUGUUUAUUUAC